GUAAUAGCCCCUUGUCUAAAAGCACCUCCCUGAACCAGUAGUAGCAGAACCUGAAGGUGCAUCAGAAUAGAUGGAUCACAUUAUUUUCAGAUGCCAGAAGAGAACACCUAAUCCAUCUGAUUUGACCCAAAAUACUGAUUUAAUGAUAUUUAUGUCAAAGUAUAAGGGCAAACCUGUGUUCUGAAAGAAUGCCACCUUGUGGUUUCUCUGUUAAACAGAGAGAUACAACUGGACUACUUCUAAAGAAGGAAGAUGUGGGUUGGAGUGAGGAUGCCAACCAAGGAGAAGCAAGCCAUGGUCAAAGAAUGACACUGUUCAAACAUUUGCAUGUCAUAUGAUUUUAAAGGAAGAAGCACAUGUGGGUUAACUUUGGAAAAUAAAAACAAACCAAAUGCGUUGUA
Marmota monax (woodchuck) is the source of this 401-nucleotide long non-coding RNA. RefSeq lists it as uncharacterized. Lineage: Eukaryota; Metazoa; Chordata; Mammalia; Rodentia; Sciuridae. The record is from RefSeq and is a predicted model, not a curated record. The transcript is spliced from 3 exons.